AAUCAAGUUCCUUCUAUACAACCCCAGCCUUCUUUUCUUCUUCUUCACAGAGUUGACUCUCUACUUAUACUUUGCCCUAAUGCAAUAUCCAUUUGGCCUGAAAAACCUGAUGUUUUCUACCCUUUGCUGGAGAAAGAACCUGUAAGGUUGGAAAGGACGAGAUGAUCUACUACCAAAAGUGCACAAGAACCUCACAAGACAAUGACGGACGCCCAGACUGGGCACUGACAAGAUUCUUUGUAUGCAUAUCUUGGAAUGAGAUCUCUGGAAGCCAGUAUAGA
This 281-nucleotide long non-coding RNA is filed under the name Rattus norvegicus (Norway rat). RNAcentral's name for it is "long non-coding RNA NONRATT032432". Lineage: Eukaryota; Metazoa; Chordata; Mammalia; Rodentia; Muridae. The record is from RNAcentral.